UUUUAUUUUGAUUCGGGAUUUUCUUUUAUUUUUUAGCACUAAUAUCAACUAAUGCUAUUAUUGUAUCAAACAGAAGCAACUGAACUUACUAUUUUUCAAAUGCAAUUUUUAUUUCUAGGUUUGUUGGCUGGAGAAGUCUUGAUCCUAAAAGAAAUGGGGAUGGACAUGAAACAAGUACACAUAAUAACAAUAUAUGUAAUGAGUAAUUAAAUACAAUUGACCUAGUCUUGCCUACUCUACUCAGUUCCCUAUCCUAUUUAUAUGUAACCAUUUCAUCUAACCAAACAAAAGAAAAUGUCAUUUAACAAUUGAAAACUCAUUUGCCAAAAUUUAUUCUUACCAUUUUCAAAUUUUCCCAUAUAAUGGCGCACAUAGAAAAUAAAUCCUUCACCACCUUGAAUUCUUUUAUGAAAAUUGAGCCCUAUAAAGAGCUUUCUUUACUCCCUGCUAGCUGCCACAAAUUAGUUUGUUCAGUUGGAAGCUAAAGUGUGAUAAAGCUUAAAAUGUUGCAACAAAUCUAGAAUUAUUUUUUUGGAGGGCCAAAUUUAAAAAUUCUAUAACUUAUUUCCUGAAAGAUCUAUAACAAAUUAUACUGAAA
This 598-nucleotide unclassified non-coding RNA is filed under the name Hevea brasiliensis (rubber tree). The record is from RNAcentral. Lineage: Eukaryota; Viridiplantae; Streptophyta; Magnoliopsida; Malpighiales; Euphorbiaceae.